This 404-nucleotide unclassified non-coding RNA is filed under the name soil metagenome. RNAcentral's name for it is "partial contains 5.8S ribosomal RNA, internal transcribed spacer 2, and large subunit ribosomal RNA". The stretch from base 1 to 122 matches the Rfam family "5.8S ribosomal RNA", at positions 35 to 154 of the family's 154-position model. The record is from RNAcentral.
GAUGAAGAACGUAGCAAAAUGCGAUACUUGGUGUGAAUUGCAGAAUCCCGUGAACCAUCGAGUUUUUGAACGCAAGUUGCGCCCGAAGCCUUUUGGCCGAGGGCACGUCUGCCUGGGCGUCACGCAUCGCGUCGCCCCCCACAAUUCUCUGUAAAGGGAACUCGUGUUUUGGGGGCGGAUAUUGGUCUCCCGUGCUCAUGGCGUGGUUGGCCGAAAUAGGAGUCCCUUCGAUGGACGCACGAACUAGUGGUGGUCGUAAAAACCCUCGUCUUUUGUUGCGUGCUGUUAGUCGCAAGGGAACCUCUAAGAAAACCCCAACGUGUCGUCUUUUGACGGCGCUUCGACCGCGACCCCAGGUCAGGCGGGACUACCCGCUGAGUUUAAGCAUAUCAAUAAGCGGAGGA